CGCACAUUGCGCCCCUUGGUAUUCCGGGGGGCAUGCCCGUUCGAGCGUCAUUACACCAAUCCAGCCCAGCUGGGUGUUGAGCUUUGGGGGUUACCCAGGCUUCAAAGUCGUCGGCCGUGACGGUCCUGAAACGCAGCGUCGUGAUUAUACCAUUCGCUGGCGAAGAAGGGCGUCCGCGCCGGAAACACUUUUCUCAGGUUGACCUCGGAUCGGGUAGGGAUACCCGCUGAACUUAA
Molecule: unclassified non-coding RNA, 236 nt
Filed under: Teratosphaeria complicata
Lineage: Eukaryota; Fungi; Ascomycota; Dothideomycetes; Mycosphaerellales; Teratosphaeriaceae
Description: partial contains 5.8S ribosomal RNA, internal transcribed spacer 2, and large subunit ribosomal RNA
Source: RNAcentral